AAAAAUUAGUUCAAUUCACAGGGUGCUAAUGUACAACCCUUUUGGUGUCUGAUCAUCAUUCCACGGAAUAAUUUUGUAAGACAGGUGUUUGUUUAACCUGUAGGAAACCUGAGACCUCCAGAGUGCUGUCAAGCAGUCUAAUUGUUUCAGAGUCAGAUUUAAAGUGAAGCUCUGACUGCACUGGCACACAAGUUUAACAGAAGGUCGUACACAUGCUGUAUGUGGCCAAUGCUGGGAACUAAGGAAUCGACCUGGCUAAUCGGGGCUCUAGUACCUGAUAGUGGAUGACUGACUAUAAAAAUCAAGAUUCAGCUUACUCCCUGAGGCCUGCUGUACCGCCAGAUCAAAGUGCUUACACUUGGCAACCUGAAAAUCAAAUACCAUUGCUGUCACUCCAAAAAUGUGUGAAACAGAAGCCUGGGACAAUGAUCCUUGUAAGUUAGACAGUAUUCCUUAAAAAAAGAGAUACAGAAAACUUCAAAACAAAGUCCUAAGUAAAACUGAAAAUAAUGUUUUGAAAAAGCUA
Long non-coding RNA from Pseudopipra pipra, 526 nucleotides. RefSeq lists it as uncharacterized. The transcript has 3 exons. The record is from RefSeq and is a predicted model, not a curated record. Lineage: Eukaryota; Metazoa; Chordata; Aves; Passeriformes; Pipridae.